AUUGAACGCUGGCGGCAGGCCUAACACAUGCAAGUCGAGCGGAUGAAGAGGGAUUGCUCUCGGUUUCCGUGGGCGACGGGCGGGUGAUUAACAGGUAUAUGCCUGGCCGCGGGGGCUAAAGUAAGGACGCGGGAGCUAGUACCAUACCAGUUCAGAGGUCGAACGGGGGGGAUCUUCGGAGCUUCCGCUAUUUGCUGAGCCUAGGACGGAUUAGCUAGUUGGUGGGGUAAAGGCGUACCAAGGCGACGAUCCGUAGCUGGUCUGAGAGGCUGAUCAGCCACACUGGAACUGAGACACGGUCCAGACUCCUACGGGAGGCAGCAGUGGGGAAUAUUGGACAAUGGGCGAAAGCCUGAUCCAGCCAUGCCGCGUGUGUGAAGAAGGUCUUCGGAUUGUAAAGCACUUUUAUUAGGGAAGAAGAGCAGUAAGUUAAUACCUGGCUGUUUUGACGGUACCAACAGAAUAAGCACCGGCUAACUUCGUG
This 484-nucleotide ribosomal RNA is filed under the name uncultured bacterium. Its description in RNAcentral is "partial 16S ribosomal RNA". It matches the Rfam family "Bacterial small subunit ribosomal RNA", at positions 30 to 507 of the family's 1533-position model. The record is from RNAcentral.